This 460-nucleotide ribosomal RNA is filed under the name uncultured Methylomirabilota bacterium. Its description in RNAcentral is "bacterial SSU rRNA". It matches the Rfam family "Bacterial small subunit ribosomal RNA", at positions 977 to 1434 of the family's 1533-position model. Lineage: Bacteria; Methylomirabilota (SeqCode). The record is from RNAcentral.
GGGCUUGACAUCCCACGAACCUCACCGAAAGGUGAGGGUGCCCGCAAGGGAGCCGAGAGACAGGUGGUGCAUGGCUGUCGUCAGCUCGUGCCGUGAGGUGUUGGGUUAAGUCCCGCAACGAGCGCAACCCUCACCCCUUGUUGCCAUCAGGUCAUGCUGGGCACUCUAGAGGAACUGCCCCGGUCAACGGGGAGGAAGGCGGGGAUGACGUCAAGUCAUCAUGCCCCUUACGUCCUGGGCUACACACGUGCUACAAUGGCCGGUACAAAGGGAUGCCACACCGCGAGGUAGAGCUAAACCCAAAAAGCCGGUCUAAGUUCAGAUUGGAGUCUGCAACUCGACUCCAUGAAGGAGGAAUCGCUAGUAAUCGCGUAUCAGCACGACGCGGUGAAUACGUUCCCGGGCCUUGUACACACCGCCCGUCACACCACGAAAGCCCGUUGUACUCGAAGUCGCUGAG